UACGUAGGAUGCAAGCGUUGUUCGGAAUUACUGGGCGUAAAGAGUACGUAGGCGGUCUGGCAAGUCUGAUAUUAAAGACCGGAGCUCAACUCCGGGACUGUAUCGGAAACUGCCAAACUAGAGGACAAUAGAGGAAGUCGGAAUUCUCAGUGUAGCGGUGAAAUGCGUAGAUAUUGGGAAGAACACCGGUGGCGAAGGCGGCGACCUGGUCCUUGACUGACGCUGAGGCGCGAAAGCGUGGGGAGCAAACAGG
Molecule: ribosomal RNA, 253 nt
Filed under: uncultured bacterium
Lineage: Bacteria
Description: partial 16S ribosomal RNA
Rfam family: Bacterial small subunit ribosomal RNA
Source: RNAcentral